AGGAUCAUUGUCGAUGCCUUACAUGCCGUCCGGCUGGCCUAAAAACGAGUCCUCGGCGACGAUCGCCACGACAAUCGGUGGAUAUCACCAAACCCCCGGCACGAAAAGGGUCAAGGAAAAUGCAAUUAAACAGCCUGCUUUCGCCAACCCGGAGACGGUGUUUGUUCGGAAGCAGUGUGCCAAUGUAAAGUCUAAAACGACUCUCGGCAACGGAUAUCUCGGCUCUCGCAUCGAUGAAGAACGUAGCGAAAUGCGAUACUUGGUGUGAAUUGCAGAAUCCCGCGAAUCAUCGAGUCUUUGAACGCAAGUUGCGCCCGAAGCCACCUGGCCGAGGGCACGUCUGCCUGGGUGUCACGCAUCGUUGCCCCCAACCCCAUCGCCCUGCAAAGAGGCGGUGGGGGCAUGCGGGGCGGACAUUGGCCUCCCGUGGGCUGAUGCCUGCGGCUGGCCUAAAAACGAGUCCUCGGCGACGAUCGCCACGACAAUCGGUGGUUGACAAACCUUCGUGACCCGUCGUGCGCGCAUCGCCGCUCAACGCGUGCUCUUUUGACCCUGUCGCGUCGCGCUCGCGACGCUUCCAACGCGACCCCAGGUCAGGCGGGACUACCCGCUGAG
This 615-nucleotide ribosomal RNA is filed under the name embryophyte environmental sample. RNAcentral's name for it is "eukaryotic LSU rRNA". The stretch from base 199 to 354 matches the Rfam family "5.8S ribosomal RNA". Lineage: Eukaryota; Viridiplantae; Streptophyta. The record is from RNAcentral.